AACAGCGAAAAAAAGAAAACGUAAAAAAAAAAAAUGCCAAGUACACUAGUCGUUGCCGAGCCUAAUCCGAUGACGAGCCAACCAGUGACCAGUCACCCCACCUCUCUUUCUUCCCUUUCCCUACUCUCACGUGUCGGCCGAAUCAUCGCCGAACCGCUUUUUUAAAAUCAUUAACCCUAAUUUCCCCCACACCCCCUUCUAAUCGAAGCCCAACCCUCAUUCGUUCAUCUUCUCGAUGGCCGAUAUCACCGAUUCCGUCACACCGUUAGCUAUGAUCACCCCUCCUUCAACCACUCCCAGCUCAAGUACGUUACCCGUCCGUGAGGAUUGUUGGUCGGAGGAAGCUUCGUCUACCCUCAUCGACGCUUGGGGUCGCCGUUACGUCGAGCUUAACCGUGGGAACCUCCGUCAGAAGGACUGGCAGGAUGUUGCCGACGCUGUUAAUUCUCUUCACGGCCAUACUAAGAAGACGCAUCGCACCGAUGUCCAGUGUAAGAACCGGAUUGACACCAUUAAGAAGAAGUAUAAGAUCGAGAAGACACGGAUUGCGGCUUCUAAUGGAACCCUAAAGUCGUCAUGGCUCUUUUUUGAACGAUUGGAUGCUCUUAUCGGAUCUAGUUUUUCAGCUAAAAAGGUUUCGCCUUCGCCUAAGAUAUCACCGAAGCCUUCGCCGAGUUUUUCACCCGGGAUGCCUUGGUCUCCUCCCGUAGCUCUUCCGCUUCCGUUGCCCUACAGGACGACUCCGGCGCCGGCUACGGUUGUCUCGCUUCCACAGAAGAGGCCGGCUGUCGACGAUGGGUAUUUGAAUAGAAAUUAUUCCGCCGUUGCUGCUGCUGCUGCUGCUGUAGAGAGUGACGAGGAAGAGGAAAGCGAGGGAGAGGAAAAUGAAGGUGAAGGAGAGGAGAGGGAAGGGAUGAAGAGUUUGGCAAGAGCGAUUGAAAGGUUUGGUCAAGUGUAUGAAAGAGUGGAAAGGGAGAAGCUGAGGCAGAUGGUGGAAUUGGAGAAGCAAAGAAUGCAAUUUGCUAAAGAUUUGGAAGUGCAGAGGAUGAGGAUGUUUAUGGAUACGCAGGUGCAGCUCGUGAAGAUCAAACGUGGCAAAUGAUCCUCAGGUUCCAGCGAACCUUGCAUGAAUACCUGGUCUCCCUUCAUGUAUGCUACACAAGAACAAGAUGCAUUUGAAAGUUGCAUGCCUGGGAUGGUUGAUAUUUGAUUUCAGUUUGAAGAUAAUAUGCCAGAGCAUUAAAAGUUCUUAGUUUCUUUUGAUGAUGAAAAUGACUGAUUGAACAGAAGUGACACAAUCUGCUACUUUAAAUCCAAGCCUUCUCCUUGCGCAACAUCCAGUCACCCUCAAGUGCCAUGAGAAAUCAGAACAACAAAACAACUGGUCAGCUUCAGGCUUAUGAUCAGAUAAACUUCAUCUAAAUGGCUUGUCAGCAUAAAAUGGACGUCUCUCCAAUGCUGGUCAGUGGUCAGCUAACAGAGGUCGGCUGUGUUCCCUACAGAAUCAUGUGCCUA
Molecule: RNA transcript, 1515 nt
Organism: Hibiscus syriacus
Lineage: Eukaryota; Viridiplantae; Streptophyta; Magnoliopsida; Malvales; Malvaceae
Gene name: trihelix transcription factor ASIL2-like
Exons: 3
Source: RefSeq, a predicted model, not a curated record